UCUGGUAAUGAUGGCAGAGAGGCCACACCCGUUCCCAUACCGAACACGGAAGUUAAGCUCU
Molecule: ribosomal RNA, 61 nt
Filed under: Bacillus mycoides
Lineage: Bacteria; Bacillati; Bacillota; Bacilli; Caryophanales; Bacillaceae
Source: RNAcentral